GACGAACGCUGGCGGCGUGCUUAACACAUGCAAGUCGAACGGAAAGGCCCUGCUUUUGUGGGGUGCUCGAGUGGCGAACGGGUGAGUAACACGUGAGUAACCUGCCCUUGACUUUGGGAUAACUUCAGGAAACUGGGGCUAAUACCGGAUAGGAGCUCCUGCUGCAUGGUGGGGGUUGGAAAGUUUCGGCGGUUGGGGAUGGACUCGCGGCUUAUCAGCUUGUUGGUGGGGUAGUGGCUUACCAAGGCUUUGACGGGUAGCCGGCCUGAGAGGUUGACCGGACACAUUGGGACUGAGAUACGGCCCAGACUCCUACGGGAGGCAGCAGUGGGGAAUAUUGCACAAUGGGCGGAAGCCUGAUGCAGCAACGCCGCGUGCGGGAUGACGGCCUUCGGGUUGUAAACCGCUUUCGCCUGUGACGAAGCGUGAGUGACGGUAAUGGGUAAAGAAGCACCGGCUAACUACGUG
This 468-nucleotide ribosomal RNA is filed under the name uncultured bacterium. RNAcentral's name for it is "partial 16S ribosomal RNA". It matches the Rfam family "Bacterial small subunit ribosomal RNA", at positions 28 to 507 of the family's 1533-position model. The record is from RNAcentral.